Molecule: long non-coding RNA, 765 nt
Filed under: Anser cygnoides (Swan goose)
Lineage: Eukaryota; Metazoa; Chordata; Aves; Anseriformes; Anatidae
Description: lncRNA (ENSACDG00005003581.1)
Source: RNAcentral
AUGGAAUUAUUUCAAAUCCUAAUUAUUUCAUCUGACCAGACAAUUAAAGAAGAUUGGAUGCUUUUGUUUUGGCAUUUGAAUUCUACUGUUCCAGCACAUUGGCUACAUGUCCCUUUACAAGAAGUUUUGAAUCCCAGAGGUGGAAUGAUGUCUACUGCAGGAUAUCAGACCCUCAAGCUGGGGAAUGUUAGAAAAGAAUUUGGGGAGAAUGCAGCUACUUCCAUUACCACUUUUGAAAUCUCCUCAAUGAUGCCUUCAUUCAGCAGUUGAGGAAGAGUUUCACUUUGACUGAGAAGACGUUUCCAUGUUCUUAAGAAUUUCCUGUAUGAAAAGGUGCUCUAACUCUUCAUCAGUCUUAUAGAAGAUUGCUCCUGAAUAAUCAGAAGUGUCAAAUUCACUUCUGAUCAGUUGAAUGAAGUGAUGAGAGAAACAACUUGGCCAGUAUGUGCAAGGUAGGAGGUAAGAAAAACAUUGCAAUUACAGUAUCAGAAAAUAACUUCAUAGGGAAAUGGAAGCCUAAUCAAUGUGUUAUAUAGGUAUUUAGAUGUAUGUCUACACACAGCCUUUGUAAAAGCAGUUUGCCUGUUAGUAUAGACGUUUCCCCAAUUACUAUUACACCCGUUAUCCUGAAAUAACAAUUCUUCAGCCUCGGUACUUUUUCUAUUCUUUACUAUAAGGUUCUACAACACUUGAGCAUAUAAUGGGAACUUGACUCCAGGUGCUAUUGCAAAUAAAUAUAAAGGCAACCAGGACUGACUGAGCCUA